AGAAAACAAAACAAAAACUUUAAAAAAACAGAAAUCAAAACGGGGAGAGGGGGUGCCGCUUACUUUUUUGGGCCUCUGUUCUGGACCAGGAU
Sinocyclocheilus anshuiensis is the source of this 92-nucleotide long non-coding RNA. RefSeq lists it as uncharacterized. The transcript has 3 exons. Lineage: Eukaryota; Metazoa; Chordata; Actinopteri; Cypriniformes; Cyprinidae. The record is from RefSeq and is a predicted model, not a curated record.